This 629-nucleotide ribosomal RNA is filed under the name Klebsiella pneumoniae. RNAcentral's name for it is "partial 23S ribosomal RNA". It matches the Rfam family "Bacterial large subunit ribosomal RNA", at positions 2261 to 2884 of the family's 2925-position model. Lineage: Bacteria; Pseudomonadati; Pseudomonadota; Gammaproteobacteria; Enterobacterales; Enterobacteriaceae. The record is from RNAcentral. RNAcentral also lists the same sequence under 1 other name.
GUGGGUAGUUUGACUGGGGCGGUCUCCUCCCAAAGCGUAACGGAGGAGCACGAAGGUUAGCUAAUCCUGGUCGGACAUCAGGAGGUUAGUGCAAUGGCAUAAGCUAGCUUGACUGCGAGCGUGACGGCGCGAGCAGGUGCGAAAGCAGGUCAUAGUGAUCCGGUGGUUCUGAAUGGAAGGGCCAUCGCUCAACGGAUAAAAGGUACUCCGGGGAUAACAGGCUGAUACCGCCCAAGAGUUCAUAUCGACGGCGGUGUUUGGCACCUCGAUGUCGGCUCAUCACAUCCUGGGGCUGAAGUAGGUCCCAAGGGUAUGGCUGUUCGCCAUUUAAAGUGGUACGCGAGCUGGGUUUAGAACGUCGUGAGACAGUUCGGUCCCUAUCUGCCGUGGGCGCUGGAGAAUUGAGGGGGGCUGCUCCUAGUACGAGAGGACCGGAGUGGACGCAUCACUGGUGUUCGGGUUGUCAUGCCAAUGGCACUGCCCGGUAGCUAAAUGCGGAAGAGAUAAGUGCUGAAAGCAUCUAAGCACGAAACUUGCCCCGAGAUGAGUUCUCCCUGAGACUUUAAGUCUCCUGAAGGAACGUUAAAGACGAUGACGUUGAUAGGCCGGGUGUGUAAGCGCAGCGAUGC